Magnolia sinica is the source of this 347-nucleotide long non-coding RNA. RefSeq lists it as uncharacterized. Lineage: Eukaryota; Viridiplantae; Streptophyta; Magnoliopsida; Magnoliales; Magnoliaceae. The transcript has 3 exons. The record is from RefSeq and is a predicted model, not a curated record.
CUUCCUUCUUCUUGUUCUUCAAAUAUUUCAUAGUGUGUUUCACCUCGGCUAAUGAUUAAUGCCUACAAUAGCUCUCAAAAUUCGGAAACUAUUUUUAAUUUAUUGAUUUUCUUCUGAGGCAUGUUUUGAGUCACCCCUGCUGUGGCCUUUUCUGGAUUAGAUUCUCUAAGAAACGAGAGAGACUUCAAGCGUUGUUUAAUUGAAAGAUCAGGUUUUUCUACGUAGCUUUGUAGAGGUUCCGCACUCCAUUUCAUUUGCUCAUAUUUGUGGGGAAGAAAUAGUAGAAAUGGCUGAAGUCAUCGUGGGACUACUACUUUCUACGGUCACCGAUGCAGUGACCUCUCAAG